Molecule: ribosomal RNA, 485 nt
Filed under: uncultured bacterium
Lineage: Bacteria
Description: partial 16S ribosomal RNA
Rfam family: Bacterial small subunit ribosomal RNA
Source: RNAcentral
AUUGAACGCUGGCGGCAUGCCUUACACAUGCAAGUCGAACGGCAGCACGGGUGCUUGCACCUGGUGGCGAGUGGCGAACGGGUGAGUAAUACAUCGGAACAUGUCCUGUAGUGGGGAUAGCCCGGCGAAAGCCGGAUUAAUACCGCAUACGAUCUACGGAUGAAAGCGGGGGACCUUCGGGCCUCGCGCUAUAGGGGUGGCCGAUGGCUGAUUAGCUAGUUGGUGGGGUAAAGGCCUAACAAGGCGACGAUCAGUAGCUGGUCUGAGAGGACGACCAGCCACACUGGGACUGAGACACGGCCCAGACUCCUACGGGAGGCAGCAGUGGGGAAUUUUGGACAAUGGGCGAAAGCCUGAUCCAGCAAUGCCGCGUGUGUGAAGAAGGCCUUCGGGUUGUAAAGCACUUUUGUCCGGAAAGAAAUCCUUGGCCCUAAUACGGUCGGGGGAUGACGGUACCGGAAGAAUAAGCACCGGCUAACUACGUG